This is a non-coding RNA of Gossypium raimondii (Peruvian cotton), 147 nucleotides long. The record is from Rfam. Lineage: Eukaryota; Viridiplantae; Streptophyta; Magnoliopsida; Malvales; Malvaceae.
UGUUAAUUUUCUUUUAUCUUUUUGUAUUGUUAAAAAUUAGUAUGGUUGAUGGAAUAAUCAGACAGUUACAUGUGACAUGCCAUGUAUACCUAAUGCUGACAUAUAGGGACCGAUUUUUAACAACAGAAAUUGAUGAAAUUUUUAACA